Non-coding RNA from Lactuca sativa (garden lettuce), 1784 nucleotides. The record is from RefSeq and is a predicted model, not a curated record. Lineage: Eukaryota; Viridiplantae; Streptophyta; Magnoliopsida; Asterales; Asteraceae.
CCAUAUUUUGCAGUUUCUGUUCACAAAUCUUGGAUAUAUAUCGCAACCAUUUGCCUUGGUCAUCAUGACUAACGUUUCCAGUGUUGAAUCCAUCUUUCAGCAUUCAACCAUCACUGCACGAUAUCCCUCAUAUUCGACUUAUGGUUACCAUAUCUACAUUAGAAAACCAUUCUUCUCCACCAUUUGCCUCAAUAAUUGGCCUCCUCCGCGAGUAUUUCCUACAAUCCCCACCUCAAACUGGUGCCCCCUUCUUCUCUCAACCCCACCACCAGUGAACCAUCGCCUAUCUGAAAACCCUAGAGACAUCCGUCUCUAACACCACUCAACCCUCUCUUAAAACCCUAGACACAACAUUUAUUGUUGUCUCUUCUAACCAACUCCCCUCUUCUUCUCUCUAAACACUCUAACCCUAAUCUUAGCCACCAACAAUAAACACUGUUGAUAUUCUUCUUUGCCACCACAUAUGUUGUUGUUCUUUUACUCACACACAUGUCACAUUGAGCUGUCAUUGAUUUGGAUUCGGAACUCUACCCCAGGAAACGCCCUCAAGGUAAGCUUUUACAUAAGGUUUCUAUCACAUACAUUCUUCUGCACCUUAUUUGACAUUCACUUUGUCUGGAUACUUUAAACAAUUAUAUGUUUUCUUAUUGAAAUCUUAAAUCAAUCAUAUUUCUUAAUUGAUAUUCACUUUUUCUAAGAUCUUUGAGACCAAAAGCGACACAGAUUUCACUAAUCUAGAAACUCAAGCACAAAGAAGGGCCUUUUCUGUUUGGAAUCUGUCAUGUAAGGUUUAUAACCUCAGUAAAAACUCUAAUUGAGUUCAUCUUUUACUGAUUUGACUUUUUUGUUUCUUUUGGUUGUUGAAUUGUUAAUCACUUUGCUAUUUUUUCUAACUGUUGUUACGUGUUCUAAUUUAAUAUAUUUCAAUGUGUUUAUUGUGGUUGCUAAAGGUUUCAUUAUGAUUUUUCUGAUUUUUGUUGUAUUAUUUGAUUUAAGUUUUACUAUCUUGAGUUGAUUGGGUUUAUAUAGACAGGGUCAAAUACAUGGAAACAGUAGUGAUUAUAUUGGAAUUUCCAACAUGAUUUUAAGGGAGGUAAUAUUCGGUUAAAUAUUGAUUUUCACUUUAAUUUAAUAAUGUAACACAUUGUUUUAUAUCAGAUGAUUUCAAUUGAUUUCGAUCUAUAGUAAGAGGUUCAAAACAAUGAUAUAUGCUUCAAAAGACCUAUUGUGUGGAAAACUAAAGGUAAAAGAUGUUUUUUUAUUACUUUUGUGGACGGUUGAACAUCUUGCUAUGAAUAAUGACAUUCAUUUAAUCGUUAUCUAUUUUGCAACAAAAUGUUGCAACUUUCUUUCUCGUGUCUACUUUUUUAACUCAUAAUAACAAUGAACUUUUUUUCUUUGACAUGUAAUAUUUAUGAAGAAGUUAUAGAAUCGUGACACUGAUUUCUUUUUACCAAUUGGUUUUAAACUCAUCAUCUACAAACUUAAACUUAUGGGAGUGUAUAUGUGUCCAGUUGUUUGAGUAUAUGUGUGAAUUGCAUUUUUUUUUUGGUUAUUUAUUUUGUCUUGUGGAAAUGGAAGUUUAAAGAAAGUGGAAUGAAUGUAUCUUUGCAACCAAAGAAAGUACCAUGGAGCAUAUGGAAAUUAUUAGUUUUGGGUUAAUGGUUUAUUGAUGAAGAAGAUAUGUCCAACAAAAGUAUGUACAAUGUAAAUAUUAUACUUUUUUUUAAUGUAUUUGUAUAUUAAAAUUAUAAAAACGCGUCAUAAAUAGUUGUACCAUUCCA